RNAcentral lists this ribosomal RNA (253 nucleotides) under uncultured bacterium. RNAcentral's name for it is "partial 16S ribosomal RNA". It matches the Rfam family "Bacterial small subunit ribosomal RNA", at positions 524 to 776 of the family's 1533-position model. The record is from RNAcentral.
UACGAAGGGGGCUAGCGUUGCUCGGAAUCACUGGGCGUAAAGCGCACGUAGGCGGCUUUCUAAGUCAGGGGUGAAAUCCUGGAGCUCAACUCCAGAACUGCCUUUGAUACUGGAGAGCUUGAGUCCGGAAGAGGUGAGUGGAACUCCGAGUGUAGAGGUGAAAUUCGUAGAUAUUCGGAAGAACACCAGUGGCGAAGGCGGCUCACUGGUCCGGUACUGGCGCUGAUGUGCGAAAGCGUGGGGAGCAAACAGG